UCAAGGCUGACGAUUCAUUCCCGUUUCACACAGGAGGAAGUGGAGGCCGGAAGCCGGAAGUCGGCCCGAGGUUGUGUGACCCGGAAGAACUUCCGCCCGCUCUCCGACCCCACUGCCCGAGACGUCUGCCCGGAGACACUCGCCAUCCCUGAAAAAGCGGGAUAUCAUCUGCCGCAAAGGCCCAGGGUUUUCUCUUGUCACACGUCACUCCAGCCCGACGCAUUCGCAAAGGGCGACGCCCUUCAGGUUCACCGGGUUAGAUUCAAGACCUGCCUUCCUCCGUGGUGCUCUCCGUAACUGCCACAGAGUUUUCGUUUGACUUCUCAACAGACCCUGUGAAUGGGAAGACUGCCUGCUCCACCUUGCUGCACAGAUUACAAAAAGGAACUCCAGGCUUUGUUCCCAGUUCCUUGGAGAUGUAAACCUUAUCAUGUCUUUGUGGCGGUCUCAUCCAGGGAAUCAGCUAGGCAGUAUAUCAGCUGAGAUCAGAUUUGAAACACCAUGGAAAUUCUUUAGACCACCAAGGAAUUCCUCUCCUCAGAGGAUGCAUUUAGCUUAGGAGAUAAAUAUUUGUAAGAAUUAAUUUGAAUUAUUUGUAUUGUUUUUGACCGUUUAGGGAACCCAUGUGUAAUCCUUUUUACUGAAGAAAACCAAAAGAUUCCUCUCGAAAAUACCGAGAACUGUUGAGCUGAAGAAGGUGAAAAUGCUAGGGACAUUGCCCCGUCCUCGACUAGCCUGAUGGCGGGACAGCAGUGUACGAAGACAGAGCUUCCCCGCCUCCCUCCUCCUUUCCCACCUGAGGAGAGGCCCCUCACAACACCUGUUUAUCUGCUCAGCGACAGUGGCACCAGAGGCUCUAGGAGCAGAUUUUACUCUUCCCAUAAAUUCACUUCCCACAUUUUCCCCUUUUUGGAAGCCUGAAAAUGCUCUAUUCUUUAUUUAGUCACUAUACAGGGUUUGCCAUUCUUUGUGAAAAUACUAUGUGAGCACAGUCCCCAAGCAACUAACUGCCUCUCCCAGUUAGAGAGAGAAACUUUGAGGCCUCUCCCACACGGUGGGUACAGCACUCAUUAAUAACCCUCUGCUGUAUUUUCUUCUUAAUCAGACUUUUGUUUAUACGAAACUGUCAGAACUAAGAACACAUGGGGGAAAGAAAAGCAAUUAUAUUUUCUUCCCUGCACUCUCCCCAUGGACAGCUUUUUCCUGUUUUCCUGGCUGUUCCUUUUAACCUGGCCAUUGUGCUCAGACAGGCGGAAAGGAGCCAGCAGGAAAGGAGCCUCUGAGGACCCUGCACCAGAACAGUAGGAGGAGAAGGAGAGAGAGACAGAGGAAGAGAGAGAGAAACAGAGACAAGAGAGCUAGUCAGAGACUCAGGAGCUUAAUCUGGUGCCAGAUGUCUUUAAAACCAUCCAGGGAGGCCAUAUUAAUUUUUAUAAUUUCUCCUGGGCCAACUCAGGUUUCAACAGUUAAAGUGUGAUGGGGUCUGCAUUGGAACUCCGGCUCCACUCUUUCUCAACCACAGUUCCUCUCUAGGAAAUGAGGUCCCGACGCACCUGACCCUGUUUCUAGGGAUGUGGAUUUUCCCUCCGAGGCCCCUAAAU
Molecule: long non-coding RNA, 1601 nt
Organism: Callithrix jacchus (white-tufted-ear marmoset)
Lineage: Eukaryota; Metazoa; Chordata; Mammalia; Primates; Cebidae
Source: RefSeq, a predicted model, not a curated record